UGUUCUAUGUGAAUAAGUAUUAUGAAGAAAGGCCAUAUUUUAUGGAUCUGACUUGUAGCAGACCGCUUCCUGGCUAUGGGCAAGGGGAAAACAGUAUGUGCAGAUUGCUCAGUCUUGGGCAUGCUCAGUAGUGCUCAUGGCUGGGAAGGCCCCUGACCCUUGACCCCAGCUUCUCCCAGGUUAGGCGGGAAAACAGGUUUCUUUGUUCUCACCUGGUUAAGAGAAACCACACCUGCGCCUUGUCAUUGACCAAUGAGAAUCAUCCCUAUGUACUGUGUAUAUUUGCAUAUCAAAAACUAUAUCUAGCCCAGCAGGCUCCGCCUUCUUUCUCUCUGCUCUCUGCCCUCUGCUCUCUGCUCGCUCCUUCUCUUUCAGGCUACCUGAUGGCUGUCCUUGCAGGAGCUUGGCCUCUGGCCGAGCUCCAUCUUUAAUCUUUCUCUAUUCACCUCUCUGACCUGCGUGGUAUGGAUCUCAGGACUGGAAUAGCCUACUGAAUUGGUCCUUUGAUCAGAGCUUAGCUGUGGCUCAUUGAUAAUUAAUAAAGACUCAUCCUGAACACCUCAUAUCUCUACUAGGACUCCGUCACUUCCCUCGUGGUAUCAAAACUUCUAUCCUGUCUCUAUCUUCCUACCUUGUGGCUUCUCUCACCUCAGAGAGAGCUACAGAUGGCGCCCAACUUUCUCGUGGCAUUCCACUCUUUUAUUUCACACAGCGAAUGGGAGAACGCGUUCGAGGACACGAGGCUAAUAGUAGGCGGGUGCCGGAGUUCCAGGAAGGUUGCCGAUCCUCUGGCCAAGGACGAUACAUGGAGUCCAUGGAAGAUGAUUAAGAGCAUCUGAUGGCAAGAAAAUCUGCCCGGAAGAAGGACAGAAGGCAGAGGUGUCUGGCACAGGACACCAGAAAAGCAGCACAUGGACUGUAAAGACUGCCCUAUAGGCAGGUUUAAUACACUACACACACACACAUGUAAUUGUAUGAGAAACAAUUUGACUACAGAAGAGUAUCAUUGAGUCACUAACAGAUAUUCUGUUCUAGGAAUAUAUGGGUAUUUGGUAAAAGAUCUAACUUUAUUACAUGCCUGACAAUUUUGAAUGGUAUUGGUACAAUGUGUAACUUGAAAUGAUAUUAUUGGAAUUGUUCCAUGUUAGCCAAAUUUGAUCAAAUAUCAAAAGGGUAUAAUUGGGAAUAUUAUGACAGUAUAAGGAAUGCUGUCCACUUGCAGCACAAAUGGGUAUUACUAUCCAAAAUGUAAUGAUGAUUAUUGUCUUAAAGGGUACAUUAUAUUUGCAAACAACAU
RNAcentral lists this long non-coding RNA (1297 nucleotides) under Monodelphis domestica (gray short-tailed opossum). RNAcentral's name for it is "lncRNA (ENSMODG00000041297.1)". The record is from RNAcentral. Lineage: Eukaryota; Metazoa; Chordata; Mammalia; Didelphimorphia; Didelphidae.